Molecule: ribosomal RNA, 503 nt
Filed under: uncultured bacterium
Lineage: Bacteria
Description: partial 16S ribosomal RNA
Rfam family: Bacterial small subunit ribosomal RNA
Source: RNAcentral
AUUGAACGCUGGCGGCAGGCCUAACACAUGCAAGUCGAACGGUAGCACAGAGAGCUUGCUCUCGGGUGACGAGUGGCGGACGGGUGAGUAAUGUCUGGGAAACUGCCCGAUGGAGGGGGAUAACUACUGGAAACGGUAGCUAAUACCGCAUAACGUCGCAAGACCAAAGUGGGGGACCUUCGGGCCUCACACCAUCGGAUGUGCCCAGAUGGGAUUAGCUAGUAGGUGGGGUAAUGGCUCACCUAGGCGACGAUCCCUAGCUGGACUGAGAGGAUAACCCGCCCAACUGGAACGGAGACACGGUCCAGACUCCUACGGGAGGCAGCAGUGGGGAAUAUUGCACAAUGGGCGCAAGCCUGAUGCAGCCAUGCCGGGGGUAUGAAGAAGGCCUUCGGGUUGUAAAGUACUUUCAGCGGGGAGGAAGGCGGUGAAGUAAUAGCUUCACCGAUUGACGUUACCCGCAGAAGAAGCACCGGCUAACUCCGUGCCAGCCGCCGCAGUAA